This is an RNA transcript of Selaginella moellendorffii, 2036 nucleotides long. RefSeq lists it as uncharacterized. NCBI's taxonomy places the organism in Eukaryota, Viridiplantae, Streptophyta, Lycopodiopsida, Selaginellales, Selaginellaceae. The record is from RefSeq and is a predicted model, not a curated record. The transcript has 15 exons.
UCUCCGGUAUUUCUUGGCCCGACCGCGGGGUGUUGGGGAAACUCUAGGCUGGGCGCUUUGCUCUAUGUUCUUUUCGUUAUGGUUUUCGUUUAAGACGGGAGAGCUCCAGUGCCUUUCUUUUGGUGUCGCAAAGCCGGCGAUGCGCGUAGAUUAGGGUACUAGAAUGGGAGUGGGGAUGCGCUAGAUCGAGCAGCGCAUCGGUGGAUUCACUGAUUUCUUGGGGGAAUUCGCGGCCGCGAAUGUAGGGCAGAUAAUGCCGAGCAAACGGAUAGCUCGAAUUUGAAGUGGUGGAGCAAGGGAAUGUGCGCGAUCGCAGCGUGAGCAAGGGCGUGGCAGCGGCGGUAGGGAAUGCUGGUCGGAAUCCAUGAAAGGGAGCGGCGGUGGCAAGCUGCGCAGCACGCCCAAGGCUCAGAUGGAAAAGAAUUACUCAUCGCAGCAUAGAGAUUUCGAGGACUUGGCCGACGUGAAGAUGCAGCACGAGUGUGGGAAAUCACGCCUUCGAUUGUGUAGAACCAAGUCCAUUUUCUUGGUGCUAUCGUUCCUCGUGUUCACCCUCUUUAUAUUCAGCAACUUUAUCGUCGAUCCAUUUCCAAGGAGCUUUUGGAAAUGGAGAAGAGUCGGUGUCAUAGGACAGCCUCAAAUUCAGGCCGAACUGUUCGAAACAUGCGAGGAUCGGCCGCGCGGUGGAAAGGAUUUACUACCGAGAGGAAUUGUCCAGCAAACAUCCAACUUCGAGGUCCAGCCGCUGGGAAGAGUUUCCAGGAAGAAGGUUCCCAACGGGCUACUCGCUGUAGCGGCUGGCAUAAAGCAGAAGCGUUAUGUGGACCGAAUUGUCCAGAAGUUUCUCGCUCACAACUUCACAAUCAUGCUGUUUCACUAUGACGGUGUCGUGGACAAGUGGAACGAGUUACCUUGGAGUAGUCGUGCCAUCCAUGUUGUAGCAAUAAAUCAAACGAAGUGGUGGUUUGCUAAGCGCUUUUUGCACCCUGAUAUUGUUGAUCCGUAUGAGUACAUUUUUGUCUGGGACGAAGAUCUCGGUGUCGAAAAUUUUCAUGUUGAUAGAUAUUUGGCCAUUAUGAAGUACGAGCGUCUAGAAAUUUCACAGCCUGCUCUAGAGCCCAACGCGUCGGAAGUCCACCAUCGUAUAACAAUUCGAAGCAAGAGAUACAGGGUACACAGGUACGUAUAUAUAAUGCUUUGGUGGCUCAAAUAUUUCCUUUGCUUUUGUAGGAGGAGUUUAAAGCCCAAAGGGACUGGGACAUUGUGUUUUGAGAACAGCACAGAUCCACCAUGUACAGGCUGGGUCGAAGGCAUGGCCCCUGUUUUUACACGAGAUGCAUGGAAAUGUGUCUGGCACCUCAUCCAGAACGACUUGGUUCACGGAUGGGGAAUGGACUUCAAGCUUGGUUAUUGUGUAAAGGGAGACCGGUCCAAGAGCGUUGGAGUAAUAGACAGCGAGUACAUUGUUCACAGAGGCAUUCCUUCUUUAGGCGGUCCAGCAAAGAGUAAGGCAAGCCUGGGGUCUGGAACCGAUGCAAGAUCAGAGGUUCGCAAGCGUUCCUUCGCCGAGCUCAAUAUUUUUUCCCAACGGUGGCGGAAUGCUGUCAAAGAAGACGAGUGCUGGCGGGAUCCUUACAAGCAUAGAACUUAUUUUGGGGAUGGCGAACAGGUUCGCUUGCGGGAAGUAGGUUUGCUUGUGUUUUAGGACAAAGUUUUUGCGGGGACGGAAGCUCGAGCUAUUUUUUUCAGGUAUGCCAGGUUCUUUGCUUGUGUCGUGCUCACCACCUUGGUCGUUUGUCUGGUGUUUGAAGGCAAGACAAGUGGUUUUUGGUUUUGGUUUAUGAAUGCUCUCUAUUACCGACAGCUGGUAUUCCUUGACUCUGGCAUGGCAUCGGUCUGCAUGCCGUCUGGUGUAUGAAUUAUGGCAGGCUUCUGCGCUGAAAACGACUCUACAAAAUGGAUAUUGAUUUGAAUAAACUACAAGUAAGUAGGAGCUUCUUGUUCAUUCCAGUUAAUCAAGGUGCUGAUUCGAAAAA